AUUAAAGAUCUGUUGGUUACUGCCAAGGUAUGCAUGCCACACUGAACCCUUAGGAUCAUUGUGCCAUGCUGGUCCUAAGUAUCAUAGCUGAAUGAGACUGUUGAUUCCUUUUCGCCUUUGGAAGCUUGCAUAGCACCUUCUGGUAUCAUAAAAGUUAGCUCUCAGGAAAGAGGCAUGCAGGUCAGUUCCAGCUCAAGGGUCUCUAAGCCGUGUUUCUGAAGGGCAUGAUGUCUUCAGAAAGAGACACUUAGCUUCCACUAUGGAAUGUAACAAAGGACAACAGCAAUAGAUUGUAUGUUCUGAGAUUCUUUUAACAACCCUAGCAACAACUAAAAAAGGGGCUUCUCAUGUCUGGUAUUGAGGAUUGUGCUAGGUGGUCUUUGGCUGUUGGAGUGAACACCAUCAAUCUAGACACGACCUCCUGAAACUUGACAAGUGAUAUCUAUCAGCAAAGGUCUUCCCAGGACUUGGUCAUUAUCUCAAAAUUUUCUCUCUGGAACCCUAAAGAUACUUCCUCCACAGACAGCAUGAAAAACUUUAUGGGCAAACAGUGAAAAGUGAGUGGGAAUAAAUGUUGGCAAUUAGAAGACCCUGAUCUCAUUGAGUAGCUGUUGUAAACUUCCUACAUGCCCAAUUAUACAAAAUUGAAUAGACGAUUUAUAACAGCUAUCAGCUCUGCCUGCCCAGCUCCUCUCUCCCCGAUAUCCACUACUCCUCCGUUUCCUCUUCAGAAAAGAGCAGACCUCCAAGAGAAAUAGUCAAACAGGACAAAAAGGAUACAAUAAGACAAGGCAAAAGCCCUCAUAAUGAAGCUGGAGAAGGCAACCCAAUACAAAGGCUUUAUUACUGAGCUGUAACAUCAAGAAAACAUGGAAUGUAAACACAGCUGACAAUGAGAUGAGCAAAUUCCCACUUAUUUAUAAACGGCCAUUGAAGAAACACUUAAGCAUCCUUGUAACCAAAGGUGACCCUUCCAAGAGCCCUGGUUAUAUCUCCCCAGACUGACACAAUUCAUCGGGAACCUUCUCUGAGUAUGGGCAGCCAUUCGCCCACAGGCUAUUGUUGGCUCAAAGUAACAGAGCAGUGAAGACUUCACUUACAAUUUCAGGAAGAAAAAAAAACACCCUGUGUUGCCUUCUGUUGCAGAACAAUAAUGGAAAACAGCAGAGGAUGCUACUUCAAACCAGACCCCCUUUAUAUAUGGACACUAAUGUUUUUGGUUUGCACAGUCAGUUCUGCAGUGUGACCUUACAUUAACACUGUGGUUGGGAAGGGAGGUGGUCACCCUGUUUUGUCUGUGACAGGUUGUAUUUGUUUAUAAGUCUUCUUCCAAUCUGUGUUCUCUGUCCUACUCUGAGGAAUCAUCAGAUCUUGUUCUUCAUGCUGUUUCCUAGAAUUUUCCUGUGUUGUGUGUUACAGUUAGAACUUGGAGUGAAGCAUCACUGCACAUCAUUGUAAUAAUAGCUGAGCUUUGGGAAAACAUUUUUUUUUUCAAAAUGGUGGUUUUCUCUCCUUUAUGUUUUUAUGAUGCUCCUAGGGGAAAAUAUUUGUCGAACAUCCUGUUGACUCAUUACAAAGUUCUACAGUGAUUUCCAAUGAUGCUCAAAAUAUAACUCCUAAUGUGGU
Peromyscus maniculatus bairdii (prairie deer mouse) is the source of this 1626-nucleotide long non-coding RNA. RefSeq lists it as uncharacterized. The record is from RefSeq and is a predicted model, not a curated record. NCBI's taxonomy places the organism in Eukaryota, Metazoa, Chordata, Mammalia, Rodentia, Cricetidae.